CUCCUCCUCCUCCUCCUCCCGCCUCCGCAGCAAUGGCGCCCUGCUUCCCUUGCGGGCCCAGGCUUCCUCCGGGGUCCCCUCGGCUGUGGCCUUUGGCUCCCCAGCCCCUCAGACUGUCCCCUCACAGCCUACCGCAGCCCUCUCCCCGGCACCGGCCUCCAGAGCCUGCGUCUCAGCACCCAGCCCCCGCCCGAGCAUCUCCGGCCGCGGCGGUGGUGCAGGUGGUAGAUGGUCUGUGCGGCUCCAGCGCUGCCUGGUUCUCCUCCGACCAGCUGCUGUGCUUUUCUCCACGACGUUGAGGUCCCUCCGUCUCCGCUGAUGUCCCGUCGGUUGACGUUCUUCUGCCCGCGUUCAGGAGAUGGUCUGUGCGGGUCGUUCUACCUGUAGGUGUGUUUUUUGAUGCGUUUGUGGGAGCAGUGUUUUGCUGGGACCAAAGGAUUUGGGCACAGACUGGUGAGUGUUUUUUUCCCUUUUCCUCCUAGAAAACUCUGAAUCAGGCUGCGUGGAUGGGGGGAUGAGCUGGAGCAGCCUCUAAAGAAUCCCACCCUUUAACCUGCACCAUCCCUUCAUUCACACUCUUCAUUUUAUUUAUUUUUAACAUUUUGAUGUGUCACCCUCAUGCCCAUCUUGGGUGGCAGACCUCUACCCUUCUCUGGAAAGCUUCCUGGUCUCCAGCCCUUUCCCGUCAUCACGGAUGAGUCAAGAGGAAGAUGCUCAGGUUUUACAAAAAUGCAGCAAGGUGACUCAGCUGAGGUCGGCAUUCACCAUGUGGAGAACUGGGGACAUUGGUAUGGGCCCCAGAGCCCCGGUGGGUACAGGAACCAGCCUUAAUUGGGUGUGUCAUGCAUCCCUUUCAUCUGCUAUCACCUCAACUGCUUCCAGCUCUUCUGCAGAAGGUCUGUUCACAGGAAGACACUCUCGCCCAGGAGAUGAACUUGAAGUAGAAUGAAGACCUUGGCAUUCCCGUCAUGGCGCAGUGGUUAAUGAAUCUGAAUAGGAACCAUGAGGCUGCAGGUUCGAUCCCUGGCCUUGCUCAGUGGGUUAAGGAUCCAGCAUUGCCGUGAGCUGUGGUGUAGGUCGCAGAUGCGGUUUGGGUCCCACGUUGCUGUGGCUGUGGUGUAGGCUGGUGGCUACAGCUCCGAUGGGACCCCUAGCCUGGGAACCUCCAUGUGCCGCAGGAAGCGGCCCUAGAAAAGGCCAAAAGACAAAACAGAAAAAAAGAGAAGACCUUAACGCUGGCUAGUGCUGAGAUCUUUGGCAAUUUCCUGCAUUGGCGCCCCAGGUUCUUGCUUUUUAAAAUGAAAUAAUAACUGUGUUGCAUUAGUUAAGAUACAAGGCAUGGCAAGCUCAGACCACAGCGCUUUGCCCAGAUUAGGGUUGCAUCUAGUAAUGCUCUCUUCCCUACAAAGUUAACACCACGCUAAUUACGUUACUGUUGACCAUGUUCUUGAUGCCGUUACAUCCUGUGGUUUAUUAUAUAACCGAAGCUUUGAACUUCUUAAUUCCCUUCCCUUCCUUCACCUCCUCCACCUUCCUUCUGGCAGCCACCUGUUUAUUCUCUGGUUUUCUGAGUCUGGGUUUUCAUUUGUUUUGUUCUUCGGAUUCCACUUGUUCCAUGUAAGUGAGAUCAUAUGAUAGUUGUUUUUCUCGGACUUAUUUCACUUAGCAGAACCACUCUAGAUCCACGCAUGUGGGCACAAAUGGCAAGAUUUCAUUUUUCUAUGGCCGAGUAAAAUGCCCUUAUAUGUACGCAUAUAUCAGAUCUUUGUCUAUUUGUCACUUCAUGGACUCUCUGGUCGCUUCUAUACCUUGGCUAUUGUGAAUAGUUCUGCUCUGAACCUUGGGGUGUGUGUAUUUUUUUGCAUUACAGUUUUCAUUUUUAGGGAGAUAGACACCUAGGAGUGGACUUGCUGGAGUAUAUGGUAGUUCUAGUUUUAGAUUUCUGAGAAAUAUCCGUACUGUUUUCCACAGUGGCCGCCCCAACGCACAUUCCCACCAAUAGCGUACGAGGGUUCCCUUUGCUUCACAUCCUCGCCAGCACUGCGCAGUCGUGGUCUUUUUCACGAUCACCAUACUGACUCGAGGGAGGAGAUAUUUCAUGUUGGUUUUAACUUUCAUGUCUUUGAUGAUCAGUGGUAUUGAGUGUCUUUUCAUGUCUGCUUUGGGAAAAUGUCUAUUCAUUUCUUCUGCCCAUUUUUUAAAUCAGCUGUUUUUUUUUUUUUUUUGCUGUUGAGGAAUAUGAGCCAUUUAUAUAUUUUGGGUAUUAAACCUCUUGUUGGUCAUAUCAUUUGCAAAUACUUUCUCCUAUUCAGUAGAUUGUCUUUUUUUUUGGCAAUGGUUUCUUUUGCUGUGCAAAAGCCUUUAAAUUUAAUUAGGUUCCUUUUGUUUAUUUUUGCUUUUAUUUCCUUUGUUUUAGGAGGUAUAUCGAAAAAACAUUGCUAUGAUUUAUGUCAAAGAGUGUUCAGUCUUUAUUUUAUUUUAGGAGUUUCAUGGUUCCUGGCCUUAUAUUUGGACCUUUAAUCAAUCAAUUAAAAAAUUUUUUUUAAAUUGUAGUUGAUUUACAAUAUUCUGUUAAUUUCUGCUGUAUAGCAAAUUGAC
This 2598-nucleotide long non-coding RNA is filed under the name Sus scrofa (pig). RNAcentral's name for it is "lncRNA (ENSSSCG00050055615.1)". Lineage: Eukaryota; Metazoa; Chordata; Mammalia; Artiodactyla; Suidae. The record is from RNAcentral.